This is a long non-coding RNA of Dreissena polymorpha, 330 nucleotides long. RefSeq lists it as uncharacterized. Lineage: Eukaryota; Metazoa; Mollusca; Bivalvia; Myida; Dreissenidae. The record is from RefSeq and is a predicted model, not a curated record. The transcript has 3 exons.
CAAGGGGCCAUCAAUAGGUUGUGACCUUGACCUUGCACCAGGCUCCAUACGAACAACAUCUCGACUUUGAAAUCUGCGAGGAUUGCCACUGAAUAAAACAAAAUGCUACUACAUCAGAUAUUCCAGUAUAAACGCAAGAGCAGUCAGGGACUGUCUAAAGGCCGACCUUAAAGCAGAUGCCUCAAAACGUGGUGAAGAAACAAUUAUAAAAGCUAUUAGAUUUGAAAAUGGAAAACCUAUUGCUCCUUCCAAGGCAGGUGGGGGCGGGGCUUGAUAGACAACGUCAUCACCAAUCUGAUGUUAAUUGACAAUAAAAAUCUUAAUUCGGAA